GACGAACGCUGGCGGCGUGCUUAACACAUGCAAGUCGAACGGAAAGGCCCUGCUUUUGUGGGGUGCUCGAGUGGCGAACGGGUGAGUAACACGUGAGUAACCUGCCCUUGACUUUGGGAUAACUUCAGGAAACUGGGGCUAAUACCGGAUAGGAGCUCCUGCUGCAUGGUGGGGGUUGGAAAGUUUCGGCGGUUGGGGAUGGACUCGCGGCUUAUCAGCUUGUUGGUGGGGUAGUGGCUUACCAAGGCUUUGACGGGUAGCCGGCCUGAGAGGGUGACCGGCCACAUUGGGACUGCGGUACGGCCCAGACUCCUACGGGAGGCAGCGGUGGAGAAUAUUGCAGAAUGGGCGGAAGCCUGAUGCAGCAACGCCGCGUGCGGGAUGACGGCCUUCGGGUUGUAAACCGCUUUCGCCUGUGACGAAGCGUGAGUGACGGUAAUGGGUAAAGAAGCACCGGCUAACUACGUG
RNAcentral lists this ribosomal RNA (468 nucleotides) under uncultured bacterium. RNAcentral's name for it is "partial 16S ribosomal RNA". It matches the Rfam family "Bacterial small subunit ribosomal RNA", at positions 28 to 507 of the family's 1533-position model. The record is from RNAcentral.